AUGGCUCCUUCCUCCCAGCUACUGACUUUAGUCCUCCUCCUGCUGGCCGCGUCGGCGGCCGUGCCGCGCGGUGCCGCCCUCCACGGCACCAACCUAAAGCGAAUUCGCGCGUACAUGCACCAGACCCUCACGGGUCCGAACGCGACGGAGGUGACGUCGGUGCAGUCCCCGCUGGGCGGCGGCGCGACGUUUGGGCAGAUCACCGUGCUGGACAACGAGCUGCGGGACGGCCCAAACCGGUGGCGCUCAUCACCCCUUGGCCGUUUCCAGGGCUUGGUCGCUGAGGUGGGGCUGGCGGGCACGCCGGGCCUGUUGUCGGCGGCCAACGUGGUGUUCACGGCCGGGCGGCACCGCGGGAGCACGCUGGCCAUGCUGGGCACGGUACAGAACUUACGGGUCACCGUUGAGCGCAGCGUCGUCGGCGGGACCGGUGAGUUCCGCAUGGCGCGCGGGUACAGCUCCAUGGUUUACAUGGCCGGGCCGAGCACGCCGAACAACGAUGUCUACAUGAUCGACUUCUUUGUUCAUGUCUAG
RNAcentral lists this ribosomal RNA (534 nucleotides) under Triticum aestivum (bread wheat). RNAcentral describes it as "partial small subunit ribosomal RNA". The record is from RNAcentral. Lineage: Eukaryota; Viridiplantae; Streptophyta; Magnoliopsida; Poales; Poaceae.